RNA transcript from Xenopus tropicalis (tropical clawed frog), 1402 nucleotides. RefSeq lists it as uncharacterized. The transcript has 5 exons. Lineage: Eukaryota; Metazoa; Chordata; Amphibia; Anura; Pipidae. The record is from RefSeq and is a predicted model, not a curated record.
UGAGGUACCAGAGGGAUGCAGGGAAAGGCCAAAGACUACAUCGGCAGCUCCAGCAUCAUGAAAGGUGCCUCUAUCAAGUACAUCUUCCUGGGAGCCUUAAUGGUCAUCUUUAUUGGAGCUCUCGCUGAAGGUGCUUCUGUGAAGAAAGAGAGAAAGACUAAAGGGAAAUGCCAACCAGGAGACAAAAACUGUGUGGAGAAUAAGGCAUUGUUGAGCAAUACAAAGCUGAAGACAUCUAAAGCACAGAUUAUAUCUCUCCCAUACGACCUUCCUUUUGACAGUGAAUUACUUAGUACAGAUGCGUCUGGGUCAGGCUAUGAGACAGAUGUAGGAUCUGGUGGGGAAACUGAUGUGAGUCCAGUAAUUUCUUCUCAACGUUUACAAGAGCUGAAGGCGUCCAAUGAGAAGGCAACUAACAACCAGGCGCCUGGAAAGAAAAGGGUUAACAUGAAGAGAUUUGACAAGAAGAAUUUAAAUGAAAUCCUUGAGAUUUAAGGCCACGGAUUUCAAGAUAAACAGAUUACUAAAACUACCAAGCACCAAUUUGUCCAUAUCCCCUGCCAGGAUCAGACCGCUUGCCACCCUCCAGCUAAGGUUGCAGCUCGCAGCAAGUGGAAGGGUUCCAGGUCCAUCACCCUGGCUUUCUGCGCACAUACGCGAUCAUGUCUUUACCUAUGAUUUGACUGCUGCUCUAUUACAGUUUCUGUUUGUUGAUCCUUCAAAUAGGAAAGUUUGAUUUCAUGUCUUGGCAUGAAAACUAUUUCUGAAAGCUAUGAAAUAUAUUGAUUAGCUUGGAAAGGGUUAAAUAGCCUUACACUUGUGCACCAUUAGAAGCUUUAUAUUCCACAGAGCAGGAAGUGAAGGCUACAAAAACAAAUUUGCACCAAUAGAACACUGCUUUCAGUAAAGAAAUAUGAAUUACAAUUUGACUGUUCUUUUUAAAGACAACAUACUUGGUACUGUUUUGUUCUGCUGCUUUUGGUUUAUUAGAGUUUUUUUUUACCACUGUAACAGAGAACAAGAUACAAUCAUAUAAGGCAUAUUAAUAUUAAGCGCUUUUAAUAUGCUCAGGCCAACCUCUGUCUAUAAGAAGAAACUGGUCAGUAGAAUGGUUUCCAGCCCAUGAAAUCUAGUUGCACAGCGGCAGUUUAUAUACUUUGUAUGUGUCCAACUCUCAGCCCUUUUAGGGCUCUGGCACACGGGGAGAUUUGUCGCGGGCGACUAAUCUACCCGUGUGCCAGAGCCCUUAGCUGUGGUGGAAUUACUACUCCCAGCAUCUUCUAGUUAACUAUCUGAAUUUGAGAUUUCUGUAAAUUAUCAGCAUUAUUUGCUCUCUGUUUGCUUAUAUAAUGAUUAUCUUUUCUUUGCUUGAGCCAGCUCAUUAAAUGUAAGGUAAAAGUAA